Long non-coding RNA from Mauremys reevesii (Reeves's turtle), 1714 nucleotides. RefSeq lists it as uncharacterized. The record is from RefSeq and is a predicted model, not a curated record. Lineage: Eukaryota; Metazoa; Chordata; Testudines; Geoemydidae. The transcript has 4 exons.
UGUUGCUAGGCAGAUUAAGCACUCCACAUCCAGAAGCUUCUGGAAUUGGGUGUGGUAGUUAUGGGUAUGCAGCCAUGUGCCCUGUGUGAGUUGGGAGAAGCUGAGCCCAUGGAAGCAGGCUAUUGUCCCUAACACUGAAGCAUUUUACAGCAGGGUUUUCUUUAAAUCUAUACACUUGUGACUUAACUGAGUGGUUGGUUAAUCAGUCAGCUGACUGGCUAGCAGCGAUUUCAGCAGAGGAAGAGUCUGCAGGGAUUCCAGCUGAAGAUUUCUACAAGCAAGUGGAGGAAAGAUGUUGUUUUGGACUCAGCAGACUGUUUAGAUUUGGUGAUCAAAGACUCUAACUGAGACUUAGAAUAUCUAUGGACCUGACCUUCAGAGAUGCUGAACGCGAGCAAUUCCCAUUGAUUUCAACUGCAGUUUUGGAUAUUGAGUGCCUCUGAAAAACAGGCCCCUAGCAUUACAGCUGAUGGCUGUUUCACGUUGCUGCUGCCAAGUCUGGAGACAUCAGGCCCUGGAGAGAGAACACAAGGAACUGCAGCCAGCUGACUGACAGGCCUAAAAACACCUGGGAGUGAACUAGCACACAACGAAAAGCAGCUCAGUACAAAAAGAAAUUAGGAGCCCAUUUAUUUUCCAGGAGACAUUUUAUCACCUGCCACUCUCCAUCCCAUUGAAAUAGUGUGGUAAAUUGAGGUGAGUGAAGGGAACUCAGGUAUGUCAAUAAUAGCUGUUUGAGCAAGGGACUGAAGGGAACAGUACAGUCCCUACAUAUACAAAGCACUAUUAGAUGUUGUGGAGGCGGAUGAAAGAAAAUGGAUUUAUACUGGACAGCAGUUAAUAUAUGAAUAUAUUUUAAUUUCAUGUGUCUAGGGUAACUGGCAGAAAGGCAACGUUCUGGCUGAAAGUAGCUGUUUGUACAUGCAAAAUCUGUAUUUAUUAAGUAUUUCAUCAAAGAAAAAGCACCAGUAUUUGUAUUUUAUUGGCUGAGUUGUGGUUCUUAGCCACUGAACUGUAAUAAGGAUGAUUCACAGUCCCAUCACCCCAUGAAGAGCUGCUCUCUGAGGGAUUUUAACUUCCUGAGGCAGUGCUCAUCCUGGACGUCACCUGGAAACAAGAGGGGCAUGGCUACUACACUGCCCUUCAAGAGUGCCCACCUGUGCACCCGGCCAGCUCUGGGGCUCUAGGAAGGACUGUUAUAAUAUCCCCUGUGCAUGGGAUGCAAGGCUGGAAACACUUUGUGCCCACUACACCUGGGUGCACCUGUGCAGGGGCCGGGUCCAAUUUUCAUCUAAGUAUUUUAUCACCACAAUCUUUUAGUAUAAAAAUAAGGAUGACUUAGCUUUUAUGGGAUUUCCAUCAGCUUUCAAGUAAUUUUCUCAGCCACCUUCAUUAAAAAUACACCUCCCUGGAGAAUUCUUUACUAGUCCCUUGGCAAGCCACUUUACACAUUUCAUUGUAUUUUUCAUUUAAAGAAAUACUAAUCUGCUAAAUCCAGAUCUAUUCUUGAAAAGUGAAUGGCCUUGUGUAUGAAUCUGCAUGAGUGAAGUACUCAUGAUGCUCCCUAGUCUAACCCUUUUAUGCAGUUUUUACUUUCAUUAUUUUCAUUAGCUAACAUGUCUCUUCUGAAGAAAUCUGUCAUCUUUUGAAAUGGCUAAUGGACUGCCAAUUGUUGCUUUUUGAGUACAUGUUUUUUAUUUAUAUGUGAAAUAUA